RNAcentral lists this ribosomal RNA (2240 nucleotides) under Priestia aryabhattai. RNAcentral's name for it is "bacterial LSU rRNA". It matches the Rfam family "Bacterial large subunit ribosomal RNA", at positions 1 to 2228 of the family's 2925-position model. Lineage: Bacteria; Bacillati; Bacillota; Bacilli; Caryophanales; Bacillaceae. The record is from RNAcentral.
AUGGUUAAGUUAGAAAGGGCGCACGGUGAAUGCCUUGGCACUAGGAGCCGAUGAAGGACGGGACUAACACCGAUAUGCUUCGGGGAGCUGUAAGUAAGCUUUGAUCCGGAGAUUUCCGAAUGGGGAAACCCACUGUUCGUAAUGGAGCAGUAUCUUUAUCUGAAUACAUAGGAUAUUGAAGGCAGACCCGGGGAACUGAAACAUCUAAGUACCCGGAGGAAGAGAAAGCAAAUGCGAUUUCCUGAGUAGCGGCGAGCGAAACGGAAUUAGCCCAAACCAAGAGGCUUGCCUCUUGGGGUUGUAGGACACUCUAUACGGAGUUACAAAGGAACGAGGUAAAUGAAGAGGUCUGGAAAGGCCCGUCAAAGAAGGUAACAACCCUGUAGUUGAAACUUCGUUCCCUCUUGAGUGGAUCCUGAGUACGGCGGAACACGUGAAAUUCCGUCGGAAGCUGGGAGGACCAUCUCCCAAGGCUAAAUACUCCCUAGUGACCGAUAGUGAACCAGUACCGUGAGGGAAAGGUGAAAAGCACCCCGGAAGGGGAGUGAAAGAGAUCCUGAAACCGUGUGCCUACAAGUAGUCAGAGCCCGUUAAUGGGUGAUGGCGUGCCUUUUGUAGAAUGAACCGGCGAGUUACGAUCCCAUGCAAGGUUAAGUUGAAGAGACGGAGCCGUAGCGAAAGCGAGUCUGAAUAGGGCGUUUAGUAUGUGGUUGUAGACCCGAAACCAGGUGAUCUACCCAUGUCCAGGGUGAAGUUCAGGUAACACUGAAUGGAGGCCCGAACCCACGCACGUUGAAAAGUGCGGGGAUGAGGUGUGGGUAGCGGAGAAAUUCCAAUCGAACCUGGAGAUAGCUGGUUCUCUCCGAAAUAGCUUUAGGGCUAGCCUCACGUAGUGAGAGUCUUGGAGGUAGAGCACUGAUUGGACUAGGGGCCCCCAACGGGUUACCGAAUUCAGUCAAACUCCGAAUGCCAAAGACUUAUCCGUGGGAGUCAGACUGCGAGUGAUAAGAUCCGUAGUCAAAAGGGAAACAGCCCAGACCACCAGCUAAGGUCCCCAAGUAUACGUUAAGUGGAAAAGGAUGUGGAGUUGCUUAGACAACCAGGAUGUUGGCUUAGAAGCAGCCACCAUUUAAAGAGUGCGUAAUAGCUCACUGGUCGAGUGACUCUGCGCCGAAAAUGUACCGGGGCUAAACGUAUCACCGAAGCUGUGGAUUGACAUCUUUGAUGUCAGUGGUAGGAGAGCGUUCUAAGUGCUGCGAAGCUAGACCGUAAGGACUGGUGGAGCGCUUAGAAGUGAGAAUGCCGGUAUGAGUAGCGAAAGACAAGUGAGAAUCUUGUCCACCGAAUGCCUAAGGUUUCCUGAGGAAGGCUCGUCCGCUCAGGGUUAGUCGGGACCUAAGCCGAGGCUGAAAAGCGUAGGCGAUGGCCAACAGGUUGAUAUUCCUGUACCACCUCCCCGCCGUUUGAGUAAUGGGGGGACGCAGGAGGAUAGGGUAAGCGCGCUGCUGGAUAUGCGCGUUCAAGCAGUUAGGCUGAUGAGUAGGCAAAUCCGCUCAUCAUAAGGCUGAGCUGUGAUGACGAGGGAAAUAUAGUACCGAAGUUCCUGAUUCCACACUGCCAAGAAAAGCCUCUAGCGAGGCGGGAGGUGCCCGUACCGCAAACCGACACAGGUAGGCGAGGAGAGAAUCCUAAGGUGAUCGAGAGAACUCUCGUUAAGGAACUCGGCAAAAUGACCCCGUAACUUCGGGAGAAGGGGUGCUCUGGUAGGGUGUAUAGCCCGAGAGAGCCGCAGUGAAUAGGCCCAGGCGACUGUUUAGCAAAAACACAGGUCUCUGCGAAGCCGCAAGGCGAAGUAUAGGGGCUGACGCCUGCCCGGUGCUGGAAGGUUAAGAGGAGGGGUUAUCCUUUGGGAGAAGCUCUGAAUCGAAGCCCCAGUAAACGGCGGCCGUAACUAUAACGGUCCUAAGGUAGCGAAAUUCCUUGUCGGGUAAGUUCCGACCCGCACGAAAGGCGUAACGAUCUGGGCACUGUCUCAACGAGAGACUCGGUGAAAUUAUAGUACCUGUGAAGAUGCAGGUUACCCGCGACAGGACGGAAAGACCCCGUGGAGCUUUACUGUAGCCUGAUAUUGAAUUUUGGUACAGCUUGUACAGGAUAGGUAGGAGCCUGAGAAGCCGGAGCGCUAGCUUCGGUGGAGGCGUCGGUGGGAUACUACCCUGGUUGUAUUGAAAUUCUAACCC